This 157-nucleotide ribosomal RNA is filed under the name Mortierellaceae sp. Its description in RNAcentral is "partial large subunit ribosomal RNA". It matches the Rfam family "Eukaryotic large subunit ribosomal RNA", at positions 106 to 261 of the family's 3401-position model. The record is from RNAcentral. Lineage: Eukaryota; Fungi; Mortierellomycota; Mortierellomycetes; Mortierellales; Mortierellaceae.
AGCUCAAAUUUGAAAUCUGGCCCUCGGGUCCGAAUUGUAGUUUAAAGAAGCGUUUUCGGUGGCAGCCUGGGUAUAAAUCCUUUGGAACAGGGUAUCGUAGAGGGUGAGAAUCCCGUCUUUGACUCAGUGCUAUGCUACUCUGUGAUACGUUUUCAAA